GAUGAACGCUGGCGGCGUGCCUAAUACAUGCAAGUCGAACGCUGGAAAUCUAGCUUGCUAGAUUGAAGGAGUGGCGAACGGGUGAGUAAUACAUAAGCAACCUACCCACGAAGACUGGGAUAUCUCUGGAAACGGGGACUAAUACCGGAUAGGUAAUCGGAAGGCAUCUUCUGAUUAUUAAAGGUUAAAAACACUGGUGGAUGGGCUUAUGGCGCAUUAGUUAGUUGGUGAGGUAACGGCCCACCAAGACGAUGAUGCGUAGCCGGCCUGAGAGGGUGAACGGCCACAUUGGGACUGAAACACGGCCCAGACUCCUACGGGAGGCAGCAGUAGGGAAUUUUCGGCAAUGGGGGAAACCCUGACCGAGCAACGCCGCGUGAGUGAUGACGGCCUUCGGGUUGUAAAGCUCUGUUGUAAGGGAAGAACGGUAGAUAGAGAAUAUCUAAAUGACGGUACCUUACCAGAAAGCCACGGCUAACUACGUG
RNAcentral lists this ribosomal RNA (485 nucleotides) under uncultured bacterium. Its description in RNAcentral is "partial 16S ribosomal RNA". It matches the Rfam family "Bacterial small subunit ribosomal RNA", at positions 28 to 507 of the family's 1533-position model. The record is from RNAcentral.